Long non-coding RNA from Amphiprion ocellaris (clown anemonefish), 454 nucleotides. RefSeq lists it as uncharacterized. The transcript is spliced from 2 exons. The record is from RefSeq and is a predicted model, not a curated record. NCBI's taxonomy places the organism in Eukaryota, Metazoa, Chordata, Actinopteri, Pomacentridae.
CCGAAAGUACCUUAACGUCAUCUGUGUGCGACACAAACACAACAUAACAGAGGCGAUGGUACACCUGCUGCUCGGUCUGUGGCUUUCUGUCAGAUUCAAAGUAAUAGAAGAGUCAGAGAAAGCUGAGAGUGGCGAGUCGAAACACUGAGGAGACACACAGGAGAGUUUGGGAGGCGAUACAGCAGUAUCAAGCCGAAGAGGAUACAAACUAGACGACAUAUGAGGGUGGCUCUCUCAUGAGGCUUCAUGGGAUUUACCUGAAGCAGCAGCACAUGAGCCUGCAGUGGCACAAGGUGUAGAGGAGGAGGACAGAGAUGUACAGGAUGCACUGAUGCAGUACGUGUCAUGCAAAAGUUAAAAGUUAUUCUUCUCGUUAUACUUCUGUUUUUCGGUCCCCGGACCACUAUUGUUUUCUUUAAUGCAAUUCUGACAAUAAACUUUUGUACCUUUUGCA